This 735-nucleotide ribosomal RNA is filed under the name Triticum aestivum (bread wheat). RNAcentral describes it as "partial small subunit ribosomal RNA". The record is from RNAcentral. Lineage: Eukaryota; Viridiplantae; Streptophyta; Magnoliopsida; Poales; Poaceae.
AUGGAGCUACCUACCUAUGAUGGCUUCCACUGCUACCACGGCUACUCCAUUUCUUUCGCAUCAAAUGCACACUACACGCAUCAUCAGCCUGCUCCUCAAGCUCAAGCUCAUGAUGACACGGGGAUCGACCACCAGUUGUUCUCCUUCUCCUUCCCCAUGGAGGCCACCUCCACCUCCUUCACUACACCUCCCGCGGCCUCAGGCGCCUGGGAGGAGAUCAUGACGGCGCCUGUCGCUUCACCGUCGUUGUUACCGCAGGGGAGCUCCAGUAGUUCACGCGAUACACCGGACUCGCCACUCAUCGGGGUGCGGAAGCGGCCGUGGGGCAAGUACGCGGCGGAGAUCCGGGACUCCACCCGCAAUGGCGCCCGAGUUUGGCUUGGUACCUUCGACACCCCACAAGCCGCCGCACUCGCCUACGACCAGGCCGCCUUCUCCGUGCGCGGCCCGGCCGCCGUGCUCAACUUCCCGGUCAAGCUCGUGCAGGAGUCGCUGCGCACGCUGGACAUCGGCUGCGCCGCCGCGGGGGACUCGCCUGCUCUCGCGCUCAAGCGGCGGCACUGCAUCCGAAAGAGAAGACCCAACAAAAAGAGGAUGUCCAGAGCCACGGCGACGGCAGCACAGGCGACGAGGCAGGAGGCAGCCACUACAUCGUCGUUGUCAACGUGCGUGUUGGAGCUGGAGGACCUUGGAGCGGACUACCUCGACGAGCUGCUCGCCUUGUCCGAGCUGUGA